This 508-nucleotide ribosomal RNA is filed under the name uncultured bacterium. RNAcentral's name for it is "bacterial SSU rRNA". It matches the Rfam family "Bacterial small subunit ribosomal RNA", at positions 15 to 518 of the family's 1533-position model. The record is from RNAcentral.
GAUUCUGGCUCAGGACGAACGCUGGCGGCGUGCUUAACACAUGCAAGUCGAACGGGGAUACUGUUGGAAGUCCUUCGGGGUGGAAGAUAGUAUUCGAGUGGCGGACGGGUGAGUAACGCGUGAGCAAUCUGUCCCAGACAGGGGGAUAACACUUGGAAACAGGUGCUAAUACCGCAUAAGACCACAGCGUCACAUGGCGCAGGGGUAAAAGGAGCGAUCCGGUUUGGGGUGAGCUCGCGUCCGAUUAGCCAGUUGGCGGGGUAACGGCCCACCAAAGCGACGAUCGGUAGCCGACCUGAGAGGGUGAUCGGCCACAUUGGAACUGAGAGACGGUCCAAACUCCUACGGGAGGCAGCAGUGGGGAAUAUUGGGCAAUGGGCGAAAGCCCUGACCCAGCAACGCCGCGUGAGUGAAGAAGGCCUUCGGGUUGUAAAGCUCUGUUAUAGGGGACGAAGGAAGUGACGGUACCCUAUAAGGAAGCCCCGGCUAACUACGUGCCAGCAGCCGC